This is a long non-coding RNA of Carassius auratus (goldfish), 2419 nucleotides long. RefSeq lists it as uncharacterized. The record is from RefSeq and is a predicted model, not a curated record. The transcript is spliced from 4 exons. Lineage: Eukaryota; Metazoa; Chordata; Actinopteri; Cypriniformes; Cyprinidae.
UUGGCGGUGUGACCCCCGUGGCCCUGCCCAGAGGAGCUCCUCAGUUCAAUCUUCACCCGUUCAGAGCUGCUGCCGGAGCCUUCCGCUUCCUCGUGCUUGGCUUUUUAGCUCUACAAUUCACGAUUAAGAUUUUGGUUCCAUCUUAACGGUUUCACUUUAGCAAAUAAAUCACAGAGGCAUCGAAAAGACGUCAGUACGCCGGGUAAACCUUGAGAUUAACGUGUUAUUUUUUUGUGAGUCUUGUCGUUUGAAUGAAAUGGAUGUUCUGGACGUUUUUGGAAAAACGCUGGAUGGGAAAUGAAAUUGAAAAGGAGAUUUUGUAAAUCAGUGAGAAAACACGUAAAUCAACGGCCCUCAGAUCAGGAGACGGAAGACGAGCGGAGAGUGGGAGUAGCGAUAGUGGUGGAGGAGUGAACCCGGAGCAGGUGAACACAGCUGCGGACCGCCAUGGGCUCUCUUCUAUUGGUCCCGACUCUUCAUCUUCGGGUCUCUGAGAGACGGCAGGGGCCAGCCAGGGAGCGCCGGAGUGGGCAGGCCAGGCAGCUUGCUUUCCCCGCCGGCUAUCGGCUCCUCGGCAGUGAGGAGGGAGAGAAAUCAAUACUGAGGAGAGAUGCUGCCAGGGGUCGCUCAACGCUACCUCCAGCCAUGGAGCCACGGGAGCCCAAGUGUUCAGCUUUCUCUCUCACAGCCCGAUCUCAGUCAACUUGCAUCAGCUAAAGAGAGGGGCCAACAGCCUUGACGUUCUUCAUGCUACACCGAGUGUGUGUGGUUCUGCCAGAGGGCCUUUUCAGGCUCGGCAUCACUUGAUAAAACUGUGCCUGCUGGAAAACGAGUAGAAAAAGAAUGUCAAAGGUCUUUCUUUCACCCAUCUUUGAUUCCUUUUUCGUCAUGAGUGCACAUUCCCCCUGACUGUUGCAAUGAGUGCUUGACGGAGAUCUCUUUUACGCUAAAUGAAGAGGCCUUCAUGCACAAAGUGCUCUACAUUUGAUGGGCUUGGAUGAGGGAGCAGUUUGAAUCCUUUUUCCACCUUUUCCAUGAUGGUUUUCCAUGAUUUGUUUAAGGACGCCACUAUUGGAGAGGCUCGGAACAGGACAUGGCCUUGAUUUGUAGGUGAAGGUUUUGGCACUUACCCUUCCAGGGAACUUUACAACGGCUUUCAGCUCUGACAAUGGCACUUGAUUGGUAUUAAUAACAUUGCAGACAAAUCGAGGACAGUGUGAGAUGGAGAUGUUCCAAAAAGUUGCUCCCACAAGGCUGCAGAUCCAUUGGGAUGUGGACAACUAAAACGUGGCCUGAACUAGAUGUUAACCCUUCAAAAAGUGGAGUGCUGGUGGCAGUGGAUAGUUCCUGUAUCCUUGGAAGCUCAACAGGAAGUUGUAUUUGGUUUUGGACUAAAUCAUGAUGCCAGGAUCAGCUCAGACCAUCACUGGAGAUAGUUUUCCCUUUCUCCUUUAUUUAAUUACUGAAUGUAACUGUUUUUAAGAAGACUGUUUGUGUUGUUUGUAUCGGAUCUCUCUUUUUUUCAACGUAUUUCUGGACAAUACAGGUAAGUACGUUGUUUGAAAAAAGAACUAUUUCUUAAAUGUACAGUACAAAGGACAAUUAAUAAUAAUGAGACUUACUGCCAACUUAAAAAUUGAUUAAACUUUAUCAUAGAUAGAUAUAGAUGGAUAGAUAGAUAGAUAGAUAGAUAGAUAGAUAGAUAGAUAGAUAGAUAGAUAGAUAGAUAGAUAGAUAGAUAGAUAUGUAUUCAGAAAUAUAUUUAUAUAGAUUGUUACAUAUUUAUAUAGAUAUUCAUAUAAAUGAAUAUUCAAAUACAUAUUCAGAUAUUCAUAUAGAUUGAUCAGAUAGAUACUCAGAUAGAAAUUCAAACAUAUAUAUAUAUAUAUAUAUAUAUAUAUAUAGAGAGAGAGAGAGAGAGAGAGAGAGAGAGAGAGACUUUUUAUUGAUUUGCUAUUGCUUUAAUCUAUUCCAUUAAAGUGAUUCCUGCCUAACUGCCUUGUAUUAAAGAUAAAAAGUGCUUAAUUAAAUUCUGAAAAAGAAAUGAUCAUUACCUGUGUGGUUUUUUGUAAAUAUAUUUUCUUUAUUUUUCUUGUUUAUUUAUUUUUUAAAUCUUUUAACAGUCUUCAUGAAUAAGGUACAUUUUGAUGUAGUGUUUUCGAAGCAUUAGAGGCACAAAUCCCAAAUUGUUUUGUUGAAACAUGUUUGAUGAACUAUUAUAUAACAGAAUUAUCCCAAAAUGAAACAUUGCUCUUUUCAAACGCCUUAAAAGCCCUGUGGGGAUUUUGACCUGUACCUUCCUAUGAUUGCAUUUAAGGGCUUUAAUUUGACAAACUGUUGAACUGCCAUUAAAAAAAGACUGCAGUAAAAAUAUUUGUUAUUAUUAUCAAAUUUUAAUUACCAACGAUGUAAUACAACC